Molecule: ribosomal RNA, 253 nt
Filed under: uncultured bacterium
Lineage: Bacteria
Description: partial 16S ribosomal RNA
Rfam family: Bacterial small subunit ribosomal RNA
Source: RNAcentral
UACGGGGGGGGCAAGCGUUGUUCGGAAUUACUGGGCGUAAAGGGCUCGUAGGCGGCCAACUAAGUCAGACGUGAAAUCCCCAGGCUUAACCUGGGAACUGCGUCUGAUACUGGACGGCUUGAAUCCGGGAGAGGGAUGCAGAAUUCCAGGUGUAGCGGUGAAAUGCGUAGAUAUCUGGAGGAAUACCGGUGGCGAAGGCGGCAUCCUGGACCGGCAUUGACGCUGAGGAGCGAAAGCCAGGGGAGCAAACGGG